CCUACGUGAGUCAGCAGUGAGGAAUAUUGGUCAAUGGCCGAGAGGCUGAACCAGCCAAGUCGCGUGAGGGAAGACGGCCCUACGGGUUGUAAACCUCUUUUGUCGGGGAGCAAAGCGAGUCACGUGUGACUCCUUGAGAGUACCCGACGAAAAAGCAUCGGCUAACUCCGUGCCAGCAGCCGCGGUAAUACGGAGGAUGCGAGCGUUAUCCGGAUUUAUUGGGUUUAAAGGGUGCGCAGGCGGAGGUGCAAGUCAGCGGUCAAAUUGCGGGGCUCAACCCCGUACUGCCGUUGAAACUGCAUCCCUUGAGUGCGCGAGAAGUAUGCGGAAUGCGUGGGGUAGCGGUGAAAUGCAUAGAUAUCACGCAGAACUCCGAUUGCGAAGGCAGCAUACCGGCGCGCAACUGACGCUCAUGCACGAAAGCGUGGGUAUCGAACAGGAUUAGAUACCCUAGUAGUC
Molecule: ribosomal RNA, 459 nt
Filed under: uncultured bacterium
Lineage: Bacteria
Description: partial 16S ribosomal RNA
Rfam family: Bacterial small subunit ribosomal RNA
Source: RNAcentral